GUGAUUAUGCCAACAGAGAUUCUCCCCAGACCAAAGGAUUUCAGAGUUUUCUGAAGAUGCUCAUACAACUGAAGACAAAACUGUGCUUCAUGUAUGUUCUGAUAAGAUACAGAUNNNNNGUGGGACUCCCGCCCAUAAGUAACAUCAUAGAAUAGGUAAGGUCUAAGUAAAGGGUCCUUGUAAUACAUCUCAUCAGAUAAGUUAACAACACUUUCACUGUCAGUAAGACGGCCUUGGUAGAAGUGCCGUGAAGGAAAAUCUCGAAUUUGAGGAUGCAUCCUAUACUGCACAGAUAAUAACAUUGUUGGACAUCCUGCUUGUUGAAACCUUUCAAAAAGGCUUCUACUAUACAUCAAGGUCCCAGCUGCCUUGCUGAUAACUGUUGCAGGAAGCUGCUGGGGAUCCCCUACAAGAACACAACGAGCAGCACCAAGAGCUAGGGGAGGAAGAACAGCUACUUCACUGGCUUGGGCAGCCUCAUCAAUAACUACCAUAUCAAAACCAUGUGUAAGUCGAGAGAACAACUUGCGACCACUGCUUGAGACAGUGGUAAAAACAAUUUCAGCCUCAUUGGCAAAACUUGCCUCCAGACUUGAGCGGGCUUCCUCCAGAUUGAAGUUGCUACCAGCACGAAACCUGGCCUCUAAAAUGAGAAGGCGAGAAAUCUCAACUAGAACUUUAUCUCUNNNNNNNNNNCUGCUGCAAGGUUCUGCAGCAAUGCAUCUCGGUUUUGAUCCCGAGCCAUAAGAAUAUCAGGAUCAACACCAACAGAUCCUUGGGAACGACCAUCAGCAGCUGC
RNAcentral lists this unclassified non-coding RNA (799 nucleotides) under Hevea brasiliensis (rubber tree). The record is from RNAcentral. Lineage: Eukaryota; Viridiplantae; Streptophyta; Magnoliopsida; Malpighiales; Euphorbiaceae.